RNAcentral lists this ribosomal RNA (478 nucleotides) under uncultured bacterium. Its description in RNAcentral is "bacterial SSU rRNA". It matches the Rfam family "Bacterial small subunit ribosomal RNA", at positions 328 to 793 of the family's 1533-position model. The record is from RNAcentral.
UGACAGUACUCCUACGGGGAGGCAGCAGUGGGGGAAUAUUGCACAAUGGGCGCAAGCCUGAUGCAGCCAUGCCGCGUGUGUGAAGAAGGACCUUCGGGUUGUAAAGCACUUUCAGUCGUGAGGAAGGUAGUGUAGUUAAUAGCUGCAUUAUUUGACGUUAGCGACAGAAGAAGCACCGGCUAACUCCGUGCCAGCAGCCGCGGUAAUACGGAGGGUGCGAGCGUUAAUCGGAAUUACUGGGCGUAAAGCGCAUGCAGGUGGUUUGUUAAGUCAGAUGUGAAAGCCCGGGGCGUCAACCUCGGAAUAGCAUUUGAAACUGGCAGACUAGAGUACUGUAGAGGGGGGUAGGAAUUUCAGGUGUAGCGGUGAAAUGCGUAGAGAUCUGAAGGAAUACCGGUGGCGAAGGCGGCCCCCUGGACAGAUACUGACACUCAGAUGCGAAAGCGUGGGGAGCAAACAGGAUUAGAUACCCUGGUAG